This 439-nucleotide ribosomal RNA is filed under the name uncultured bacterium. RNAcentral's name for it is "partial 16S ribosomal RNA". It matches the Rfam family "Bacterial small subunit ribosomal RNA", at positions 339 to 795 of the family's 1533-position model. The record is from RNAcentral.
CUACGAGUCGCUGCAGUGGGGAAUAUUGCACAAUGGGGGAAACCCUGAUGCAGCAACGCCGCGUGGAGGAUGACACAUUUCGGUGCGUAAACUCCUUUUAUAGGUCAAGAUAAUGACGGUAGCCUAUGAAUAAGCGCCGGCUAACUCCGUGCCAGCAGCCGCGGUAAUAAGGAGGGCGCAAGCGUUACUCGGAAUCACUGGGCGUAAAGAGCAUGUAGGCGGGUUAAUAAGUCAGAAGUGAAAUCCAAUAGCUCAACUAUUGAACUGCUUUUGAAACUGUUAACCUAGAGUGUGGGAGAGGUAGAUGGAAUUUCUGGUGUAGGGGUAAAAUCCGUAGAGAUCAGAAGGAAUACCGAUUGCGAAGGCGAUCUACUGGAACAUUACUGACGCUGAGAUGCGAAAGCGUGGGGAGCAAACAGGAUUAGAUACCCCCGUAGUC